GGCGGCGUAGCUCAACUGGUUAGAGCAGCGGAAUCAUAAUCCGCGUGUUGGGGGUUCGAGUCCCUCCGCCGCCA
RNAcentral lists this transfer RNA (74 nucleotides) under Candidatus Zixiibacteriota bacterium. Its description in RNAcentral is "tRNA-Met". It matches the Rfam family "tRNA". From Rfam's summary of the family: Transfer RNA (tRNA) molecules are approximately 80 nucleotides in length. Their secondary structure includes four short double-helical elements and three loops (D, anti-codon, and T loops). The record is from RNAcentral. Lineage: Bacteria; Pseudomonadati; Candidatus Zixiibacteriota.